Molecule: small RNA, 1411 nt
Filed under: Pongo abelii (Sumatran orangutan)
Lineage: Eukaryota; Metazoa; Chordata; Mammalia; Primates; Hominidae
Description: retained intron
Source: RNAcentral
GAGGAAGGCUGAACAAGGACCUGCGACAUUUUCUCAAUCAGCGGUUCCAGAAGGGGUCUCCUGAUCAUGAGCUCCAGCAGACCAUAAGAGAUAACCUUUACCGCCAUGCUGUGCCUUGCACAACCCGAUCUCCCAGAGAAGGAGAAGUGCCUGGCGUGGACUAUAACUUUCUGACUGUGAAGGAGUUCUUGGACCUCGAGCAGAGCGGGACUCUUCUGGAAGUCGGCACCUAUGAAGGAAACUAUUAUGGGACACCCAAGCCUCCUAGCCAGCCAGUCAGUGGGAAAGUGAUCACGACGGAUGCCUUGCACAGCCUUCAGUCUGGCUCUAAGCAGUCGACCCCGAAGCGAACCAAGUCCUACAAUGAUAUGCAAAAUGCUGGCAUAGUCCAUGCGGAGAACGAGGAGGAGGAUGACGUUCCUGAAAUGAACAGCAGCUUUACAGCAGCCGGUUCUGGUGAACAAGACGAGCACACUCUCCAAGAAACAGCAUUACCACCUGUGAAUAGUAGCAUCAUUGCUGCUCCCAUCACGGACCCUUCUCAGAAGUUCCCUCAAUACCUACCUCUUUCUGCAGAGGAUAAUUUAGGUCCUCUACCUGAAAACUGGGAGAUGGCCUAUACCGAAAAUGGAGAAGUCUAUUUUAUAGAUCAUAACACGAAAACAACAUCUUGGUUAGACCCUCGGUGCCUGAACAAGCAGCAGAAGCCUCUGGAAGAGUGUGAAGAUGAUGGUAAGGGGCCAGGCAGGUCUUGGGUUAAGUGAAUUGGGGGCACUGUUCACAUGUGCAAAUUUUAAAGAGUCGUAGCUAGGUCAGUCGGGUCUUAUGUUGAGUUUUUAAAAGGUAAUCCAAUUUCUGCUAAAUGGACUGUGGUUUACAAAAGCAGGAGGAAAGUCAGAAUUGUUUCAAGAGAAGAAUUUGUUUACACAUAAAGACAGAUGCUUACUAAUAUCUCCAUUAGAAGCAGAACAGUCAGAAACUGUUCAAAUGAAGAUAUGUCCUCUGUCUUCAGGAACUUAGAGUAAAUUCUAGAAAGUCUCUAGGAAUAAAGAAACCAAAGAUGCUCUGGUCACUCACACAUUCUAAGGUUUAACCCUAUCUUAUAAAAGUCUUAGGGGAAAAGUUGGGAGUUUUUCUUGAACUCUACAUAUUUCACAUACUUCCCUAGUCUUGGAGGUAGGGGAAACAGAUCUAGACAUGUUUGAGAAUCUCUGUGUAACUUACAGUAUACCCACAAUGUGUAGUAAGUGUAUUCUUUUGAGACAGAGGUUGAGGUGUUAUCUAGAGCACCACUCUCCCUGUUAAUCUUGGAAAUGAACUAACUGGCUGUAAGAGCUUUUGUUGAAAAAGUUCAUUUCAAGGCUUUGGGUUUUCUAAUUACUUCUCCAAAAUGAAAAAAAAAAAAAAAAAA